UACGUAGGGGGCUAGCGUUGUCCGGAAUCAUUGGGCGUAAAGAGCGUGUAGGCGGUUCGGUAAGUCCGCUGUGAAAGUCGGGGGCUCAACCCUCGAAUGCCGGUGGAUACUGUCGGGCUAGAGUACGGAAGAGGCGAGUGGAAUUCCUGGUGUAGCGGUGAAAUGCGCAGAUAUCAGGAGGAACACCGAUGGCGAAGGCAGAUCUCUGGGCCGUAACUGACGCUGAGGAGCGAAAGCAUGGGGAGCGAACAGG
RNAcentral lists this ribosomal RNA (253 nucleotides) under uncultured bacterium. RNAcentral's name for it is "partial 16S ribosomal RNA". It matches the Rfam family "Bacterial small subunit ribosomal RNA", at positions 524 to 776 of the family's 1533-position model. The record is from RNAcentral.